This 253-nucleotide ribosomal RNA is filed under the name uncultured bacterium. Its description in RNAcentral is "partial 16S ribosomal RNA". It matches the Rfam family "Bacterial small subunit ribosomal RNA", at positions 524 to 777 of the family's 1533-position model. The record is from RNAcentral.
UACGUAGGGUGCAAGCGUUAAUCGGAAUCACUGGGCGUAAAGCGCACGUAGGCGGCUUCUUAAGUCAGGGGUGAAAUCCUGGAGCUCAACUCCAGAACUGCCUUCGAUACUGGAGAUCUUGAGACCGGAAGAGGUAAGUGGAACUGCGAGUGUAGAGGUGAAAUUCGUAGAUAUUAGGAAGAACACCAGUGGCGAAGGCGGCUUGCCAGAAUGCGCUCGACGGUGAGGGAUGAAAGCUGGGGAGCAAACCGGG